GUUAAGUAGGAAGUGAAAAGGUUGGAGCUCAACUCCAACAUUGCUCCCUAUACUGGCUAUCUUGAGUCCCGGAGAGGAAAGCGGAACGACACGUGGAGCGGUGAAAUGCGUUGAUAUGUGUCGGAACACCAAUGGCGAAGGCAGCUUUCUGGACGGGUACUGACGCUCAGGCGCGAAAGCCGAGGUAGCGAACAGGAUUAGAUACCCUGGUAGUCUCGGCCCUAAACGAUGAUCACUAGGUGUCGGGGGGUUUCCCUCGGUGCCGCAGCUAACGCAUUAAGUGAUCCGCCUGGGGACUACGGCCGCAAGGUUGAAACUCAAAGGAAUUGGCGGGGGACCGCACAAGCGGUGGAGCAUAUGGCUUAAUUCGAUGCAACGCGAAGAACCUUACCCAGGCUUGACAUGUAACUGCAAGCUCCCCAAAAGGAGCCGCUUUCGAAGGUGUUACACAGGUGGUGCAUGGCUGUCGUCAGCUCGUGUUGUGAAAUGUUGGGUUAAGUCCCGCAACGAGCGCAACCCUCAUGUUCUGUUGCCAGCGAGUAAUGUCGGGAACUCGGAACAAACUGCCCAUGUAAGUGGGAGGAAGGUGGGGAUGACGUCAAGUCAUCAUGCCCCUUACGCCUGGGGCUGCACAUAUGCUACAAUGGCUGCUACAAAGGGCUGCGAACUCGCGAGAGUAAGCCAAUCCCAAAAAAGCAGUCUCAGUUCGGAUUGGAGUCUGCAACUCGACUCCAUGAAGCUGGAAUCGCUAGUAACCGCAGGUCAGCACUACUGCGGUGAAUACGUUCCCGGUCCUUGCACAUACCGCCCGUCACAUGACGAAAGUUGGUGUUAUCCGAAGUCACCAGGCUAACCGCAAGGAAGCAAGUGCCGAAGGUAGUGCCGAUGAUUGGCGUGAAGUCGUAACAAGGUAACC
This 916-nucleotide ribosomal RNA is filed under the name uncultured bacterium. RNAcentral's name for it is "bacterial SSU rRNA". It matches the Rfam family "Bacterial small subunit ribosomal RNA", at positions 582 to 1501 of the family's 1533-position model. The record is from RNAcentral.